CUGACACCGUAACUUCGGAAGAAGGUGUGCCUUUAGUAGGUGAAGUCGUACAGACGGAGCCCAAUGAGGCCGCAGAGAAUCGGUGGCUGCGACUGUUUAUUAAAAACACAGCACUCUGCAAAGACGAAAGUCGACGUAUAGGGUGUGACGCCUGCCCGGUGCUGGAAGAUUAAAUGAUGGGGUGCAAGCUCUUGACUGAAGUCCCAGUAAACGGCGGCCGUAACAAUAACGGUCCUAAGGUAGCGAAAUUCCUUGUCGGGUAAGUUCCGACCUGCACGAAUGGCGUAACGAUGGCCACACUGUCUCCUCCAGAGACUCAGCGAAGUUGAAAUGUUUGUGAUGAUGCAAUCUCCCCGCGGAAAGACGGAAAGACCCCAUGAACCUUUACUGUAGCUUUACAUUGGACUUUGAACAGAUCUGUGUAGGAUAGGUGGGAGGCUUUGAAGCGGUGCCGCUAGGUGUCGUGGAGCCAGCGUUGAAAUACCACCCUGGUGUGUUUGAGGUUCUAACCUUGUCCCGUUAUCCGGGAUGGGGACAGUGUAUGGUGGGCAGUUUGACUGGGGCGGUCUCCUCCCAAAGCGUAACGGAGGAGUUCGCAGGUACGCUAGGCACGGUCGGAAAUCGUGCUGAUAGUGCAUUGGCAUAAGCGUGCUUGACUGCGAGACUGACAAGUCGAGCAGGUAAAAGUAGGACAAAGUGAUCCGGUGGUUCUGUAUGGAAGGGCCAUCGCUCAACGGAUAAAAGGUACUCUGGGGAUAACAGGCUGAUACCGCCCAAGAGUUCAUAUCGACGGCGGUGUUUGGCACCUCGAUGUCGGCUCAUCUCAUCCUGGGGCUGUAGCCGGUCCCAAGGGUAUGGCUGUUCGCCAUUUAAAGAGGUACGUGAGCUGGGUUUAAAACGUCGUGAGACAGUUUGGUCCCUAUCUUCCGUGGGCGCUGCAAGAUUGAGAGAGCCUGCUCCUAGUACGAGAGGACCGGAGUGGACGCACCUCUGGUGUAUCGGUUGUCACGCCAGUGGCAUUGCCGAGUAGCUAAGUGCGGAAGAGAUAACCGCUGAAAGCAUCUAAGCGGGAAACUCGUCUCAAGAUGAGUCUUGCCGGGGCCUUGAGCCCCCUGAAGAGUCGUUCGAGACCAGGACGUUGAUAGGCCGGGUGUGGAAGCGCAGUAAUGCGUUAAGCUAACCGGUACUAAUUGCUCGUGAGGCUUGACCC
Molecule: ribosomal RNA, 1210 nt
Filed under: metagenome
Description: bacterial LSU rRNA
Rfam family: Bacterial large subunit ribosomal RNA
Source: RNAcentral